GACGAACGCUGGCGGCGUGCUUAACACAUGCAAGUCGAACGGAAAGGCCCUGCUUUUGUGGGGUGCUCGAGUGGCGAACGGGUGAGUAACACGUGAGUAACCUGCCCUUGACUUUGGGAUAACUUCAGGAAACUGGGGCUAAUACCGGAUAGGAGCUCCUGCUGCAUGGUGGGGGUUGGAAAGUUUCGGCGGUUGGGGAUGGACUCGCGGCUUAUCAGCUUGUUGGUGGGGUAGUGGCUUACCAAGGCUUUGACGGGUAGCCGGCCUGAGAGGGUGACCGGCCACAUUGGGACUGAGAUACGGCCCAGAAUCCUACGGGAGGCAGCAGUGGGGAAUAUUGCACAAUGGGCGGAAGCCUGAUGAAGAAACGCCGCGUGCGGGAUGACGGCCUUCGGGUUGUAAACCGCUUUCGCAUGUGACGAGGCGUGAGUGACGGUAAUGGGUAAAGAAGCACCGGCUAACUACGUG
Molecule: ribosomal RNA, 468 nt
Filed under: uncultured bacterium
Lineage: Bacteria
Description: partial 16S ribosomal RNA
Rfam family: Bacterial small subunit ribosomal RNA
Source: RNAcentral